UACUAACUAUGGGGCCAUGUGCAUCACUUUCUUCCUCUAUAAAACGGGGAUGGUAAUACCUUCUUCAUCAGGCUGAUGGGAAAAUUAAAUGAGUUAGUACAUGUACGGCACUCAGAACAGUGCCUGGCACAGAGUAAGAGCUCAGUGUUAGCUAUUAUUGUUAUUGCUACUGGCAUUCACACACACACACACACACACACACACACAAUUAGAAUUGGGACCCAUAUCCAGGAGGCUUCUACUGUAUUCCUAAUGACUUACUGCUUAAAAAAAAUCUAAAAUUAGAACCACCAUCAAUACAAAAAUAUAAACAGGUCUUGGAAAAAGGCGGGUUGGGGGGAGCCACUCAUAGUCAUGUUGGUUGCGUUGGUGAGUUGGUGAGUUUUAGGUGAGGGUACACCUCUGAGCAGCCGUGGAAUCCGGUUCCACGACUGCUCUGUAUUUCCUUCAGAUGAUGCCUCCCCUUCUGCUUCGGUUCUUAAUCAGCGUUUCAUGGGCAGGAUUACGGGCGGGUCCAUGAACCCCCUGAAACUGUACACGGAACUGGGUGGGGCUGCGGCUCUGGGCAUUUUGGGGUUGGGGGAGGGGUUCCACAGCUUUUCUCAGGCUCUAAUAAAUGAUCCUGUAGCGAGUAACUUGCUUUGCAGGGCUAAACUCAGGAGAGAGCGACUGAACAAUUCAUUUCACGGAAGCUACGGCCAUGACCAGGACACCUGGGCUGUUAAUCUCUAUCUCAACACCCGAGAGACCUGGCACCGCGAGAGGCAAGAGCCUGCCGGGCAGUGACCCUCACUGUUGAAAAACUCACCGGCUCCCCAGACCCGACCUGGGUUUGCCGGGUUUAACUUCCCCUCCCUUCCCCCAUCCUUCGUUCUCUUCCAAGAACAAACUCCAAGGAAAUUGGCCACGCUGCGUCUAGGGUUUCGCUCCUGGCCUCGGCUGACACUUAAACCACUUCUCCCAGGGAAGUUAACUAAAAGAACAAUUAAUCCACGCAAAAAUCCAAAACCCACUCCACAGCUCAAGAACUCGCAAAGUUAGAAGACUGAGGCGCCGCUGCUGAGGGUGAGCUCUGCAGGUCACUGAGGCUCACGGGGUACGAAAGGGAAGUAGCCAAGGUCCGGUCAGAGGGUGGGACGCCGACAGCACUCUCCGAGUCUAAGCGCUACCGACGCCGGUGGAGAAGGGCUCGCAGACAGCCAGGCAGUGGGUGAGGCACUAGGGCUUCAACAAUGGCCACGUGAAGUCUGCCCUGUGAAGUCCCUCCGGCAAAAGAAUCAGAUAACCUAAAAUUUGGGAGACAUCACCAAAUUCCCUGGCUCUUGCUGAAUGCAGCUGGGAAGUAAGAACCAACACCUGUCCCUUUGGGAAUGUCUCCAAAAUUUCCAAAAAGGUAAGAAAUAUCUAAAUGUGAGAUUUAGUUGAA
Sus scrofa (pig) is the source of this 1426-nucleotide non-coding RNA. The record is from RefSeq and is a predicted model, not a curated record. NCBI's taxonomy places the organism in Eukaryota, Metazoa, Chordata, Mammalia, Artiodactyla, Suidae.